GUGUCUGUGUGUGUGCGUGCCUGUCUGUGUGCGUGCGUGCGUGCGUGCGUGCAUGCAUGUGUACGUGUCUGUCUGUGUGUCUAUGUGUUUGUCUGUGUGACUGACUAUGUGUUUGUGUGUGUGUCUGUCUGUCUGUGUGUGUUUGUCUGUCCGUGUGUGUGUUUGUCUGUGUGUGUGUGUGUGUGUUUGUCUGUAUGUGUGUGUGUGUGUGUGUCUGUCUAUGUAUGUUUGUCUGUCUGUCUAUACCCGUUCUAUGUGUGUGUUUAUCAGUGAGUGUGUGUGUCUGUCUGUGUGUGUGUUUGUCUAUGUAUGUGUUGUGUGUAUCUGUCUGUGUGUCUGUCAGGUAGUCAUAGAGAAACAGAUAAAGCUUCAGAAUAUAAAUUUCAAUUUUAUUGAAUUCACUGUAUAUUGCAUAAGGAUCACUAACAUAGGUGUGAUAUACUGUACAUCUACUGGAGUACACCGACUUUUCAGAAACUUUUUGAUAUGUCAUCCAUACGCAGCCUGGCAUGAAACCGCUUCUGUUUGUCUAUUUGAAUUACAACAGUGGAUCUACAUAGGCUAGCUUAACUAUGACAUCAUAAUAUAACACGUAAUGUGAUGUCAUAAUAGAGUAAUGACAUCAGCUUUUUUUUUUCUUUUUUUUUUUGGCUAGAGUUAUCUUCCUUGACAAAUAUUCUUCUUCAUACAAAGGUCUCUUAUUUUGACUUACGUUUAUUAGAUAAAAGCAUGAUAUCAGGGUCAUUUAUUAAAGAUGUGACGGUUUAGACGAACCAAUUUUUAGGGCAACUUUCUCAUUGAAAUAAGUUUUUUUGAACUUGAAAAAACAAAAAACAGACUCUCCAGGAUUGCUCAAGUUAACAUCCUUACUGGCCAUUUCAGGUUUUUUUUCCCCCUACAAUUCCUUUUAUUUCACAUCAAAUUUCCUUUACAUACAAUUCUAGUCUUUAUUUGGAAUCAAAAUCACAUGUAUUUCACUCAGUUCUGGGUCUUUUAUUCUAUUUUCAACUUUACCAAGGGGAAGAACUCUGCUGGAAACAGUGAUGGGAAGAGGGCAGUUUUUGUUCACUCAUUUCAAGAUAUAAUCAAAACAAUAACUCCCCAUGUAUGAUACAUCAUUUUAUUCGGAAAAACUUAAAUUUUUAAACAGUAUAGGUAUUUCAUGAUGUCGUAGAAUUUCCGCAGUCUUUAAAGUCUCAAUAUACCUGGCGAAUUGCCAAUACGAAGCUAAAGUGACCAGGGUUAAAAUGUAAAUAUGUUAAAAGAGUAUUUUAUAGAAUUUAAAUAGUUUCAUUGUUAUUGAUAUCUGUAUUAAUAUAGGGAGGUGACCAUUCUACAUUGAUCCAGUGCCUUUUUAUGGGAUUCGAAACUGUGACUGUGAGAUGUAUGAGAGUUUGACUUCUAGGCGGGCAAUUCUACUUUCACUUUAAACGGAUGGCAGGUGCCUGAGUGUAUCUCGACCCAUUUCCAGGCUAGCAUCAGAUGUCAUGAUGGACCUUUAAAAUCUUUCACAUGUGUACUUUCAAGAACCAUAUACAUUAUUUUUGAAAAUUGGUUGCCAUGGUAAUAAAAUCUGAAAAUUAAAA
This is a long non-coding RNA of Ostrea edulis (European flat oyster), 1586 nucleotides long. RefSeq lists it as uncharacterized. NCBI's taxonomy places the organism in Eukaryota, Metazoa, Mollusca, Bivalvia, Ostreida, Ostreidae. The record is from RefSeq and is a predicted model, not a curated record. The transcript has 2 exons.